AGCAGCCGCGGUAAUUCCAGCUCCAAUAGCGUAUAUUAAAGUUGUUGCAGUUAAAAAGCUCGUAGUUGAAUUUCGGGAUUGACGUGAUGGUCGUGCCUUACGGGGUAUGAACUGUUGCAGUCAAUUUCUCACCUUCUGGAGAAAUAUGAUGUCCUUAAUUGGGUGUCAUAUGGAACCAGAACUUUUACCUUGAAAAAUUAGAGUGUUUAAAGCAGGCUUAUUGCUCGAAUACAUUAGCAUGGAAUAAUAAAAUAGGACGGCAUGGUUCUAUUUUGUUGGUUUCUAGGAUCACCGUAAUGAUUAAUAGGGAUAGUUGGGGGCAUUAGUAUUCAAUUGUCAGAGGUGAAAUUCUUGGAUUUAUUGAAGACUAACUACUGCGAAAGCAUUUGCCAAGGAUGUUUUCAUUAAUCAAGAACGAAAGUUAGGGGAUCGAAGACGAUCAGAUACCGUCGUAGUCUUAACCAUAAACUAUGCCGACUAGGAAUCAGACGAUGUUAAUUUUUUAAUGACUCGUUUGG
This 518-nucleotide unclassified non-coding RNA is filed under the name uncultured Entrophospora. RNAcentral describes it as "SSU rRNA". It matches the Rfam family "Eukaryotic small subunit ribosomal RNA", at positions 569 to 1083 of the family's 1831-position model. Lineage: Eukaryota; Fungi; Glomeromycota; Glomeromycetes; Entrophosporales; Entrophosporaceae. The record is from RNAcentral.